RNAcentral lists this ribosomal RNA (460 nucleotides) under uncultured bacterium. RNAcentral describes it as "partial 16S ribosomal RNA". It matches the Rfam family "Bacterial small subunit ribosomal RNA", at positions 338 to 795 of the family's 1533-position model. The record is from RNAcentral.
CCUACGGGGGGCAGCAGUGAGGAAUAUUGGUCAAUGGCCGGGAGGCUGAACCAGCCAAGCCGCGUGAAGGACGAAGGUGCCAAGCAUUGUAAACUUCUUUUGUCAAGGGACAAAACCAGGCUCGCGAGCCUGGCCGAGGGUACUUGAAGAAAAAGCAUCGGCUAACUCCGUGCCAGCAGCCGCGGUAAUACGGAGGAUCCGAGCGUUAUCCGGAUUUAUUGGGUUUAAAGGGGGCGUAGGUGGAUUGUUAAGUCAGUUGUGAAAGUUUGCGGCUCAACCGUAAAAUUGCCGUUGAAACUGGCAGUCUUGAGUAGAGUAGAGGUGGGCGGAAUGCGUGGUGUAGCGGUGAAAUGCUUAGAUAUCACGAAGAACUCCGAUUGCGAAGGCAGCUCACUGGACUGCAACUGACACUGAUGCUCGAAAGUGUGGGUAUCAAACAGGAUUAGAUACCCGGGUAGUC